Long non-coding RNA from Oncorhynchus tshawytscha (Chinook salmon), 650 nucleotides. NCBI's taxonomy places the organism in Eukaryota, Metazoa, Chordata, Actinopteri, Salmoniformes, Salmonidae. The record is from Ensembl.
GUGAAAAUGAUGAGAAUACAAGUCUAAACAGUAGAGAUAGAGAUAUCCAAAGCCAAGAGGUCACAGGCACAGCCACGGAGCAGGCCCUACGUAGGGGUAGUUGUAGGGGUGUAGUGAAUGGAGUGUUGGACACAGCCAGAGAACAGCAGGACUUGGACAGUAUGGAGCAUGUCAAUGGUAGACCCAAUGGUACUGAUGAAGCCAAGAGUAGAGAAACCAGAGAUGACAUCAGCACUGAGACGAACCCAGUCGUGAUUGGUUAGCCUCCAGGAGUCCCAGCCAGGAGCCCCAGCCAGGAGCUCCAGCCAGGAGCCUGUCAGUGCCAGAGGCUUCCUCCAGGUAGAGUUGGCUCAGCUCUACCCUGCAGGGCCUGUAAAUCUCCCUGCCUCUCACUCGUGUGUCGUCUCCCUCAAGCUCCACCGACUCUACCAGACCGCAGAGUCCCUCUCACACUUAUAUUCAUGACAGAGACGUCAGUACAUCUGUGGAUAUUUACCACCAAUUUUUCACUUGAUCUUGAAAUGGUAUAAAUGGUAUUCUGACAGCAGCUGUGCCCCCUGGUCUUACUGCCGGUAGUCAAUUUGAAUUGUAGGUGAAUGGAAAUACGAUGUUUGGCUCCAAUCUGAUCUGAUCAAUCUGAUGAAAUAAAG